RNAcentral lists this long non-coding RNA (319 nucleotides) under Arabidopsis lyrata. RNAcentral's name for it is "long non-coding RNA (ALYR_LNC003069)". The record is from RNAcentral. Lineage: Eukaryota; Viridiplantae; Streptophyta; Magnoliopsida; Brassicales; Brassicaceae.
UGUAGGAGAAAUUUAGGGAAUUUACCUUUUCUUUUAAUAUUUACUUAUUUCACGUUUUCUAUUUUGUUUAAGGGUUUUCUAUUUUAUGUUUUGGUUUUAUUCUCUAUAUAUAUAGAGAUCCUAGGUUAUUUAACGGAGAUGUUUUUUUAUUCUAAUUAAUAAGAACAGAGAGCUUUCUCUUUUCCUGGUGGAUUCCAGACCCUUUUCUGGUGGAUUCCAGAGUUUUAUCAUUAAGUUCGUCGCUAGCGAACUUGAUUUCUAUCUAGGCAUAGUGUUUGCUAUUCCUAGAGAUUCCGACUGCGUCAAGUGGUAUCAGAGC